This 274-nucleotide ribosomal RNA is filed under the name uncultured bacterium. RNAcentral describes it as "partial 16S ribosomal RNA". It matches the Rfam family "Bacterial small subunit ribosomal RNA", at positions 523 to 796 of the family's 1533-position model. The record is from RNAcentral.
AUACGGAGGAUGCGAGCGUUAUCCGGAUUUAUUAGGUUUAAAGGGUGUGUAGGCGGUAUUUUAAGUCAGGGGUGAAAUCUCGGAGCUUAACUUCGAAACUGCCAUUGAUACUGGAAUACUUGAGUAUAGUUGAGGUAGGCGGAAUAUGUAAUGUAGCGGUGAAAUGCAUAGAUAUUACAUAGAACACCGAUUGCGAAGGCAGCUUACUAAACUAUUACUGACGCUGAUGCACGAAAGCGUGGGGAGCGAACAGGAUUAGAAACCCGGGUAGUCC